Molecule: unclassified non-coding RNA, 179 nt
Filed under: Diversispora epigaea
Lineage: Eukaryota; Fungi; Glomeromycota; Glomeromycetes; Diversisporales; Diversisporaceae
Description: partial internal transcribed spacer region
Rfam family: Eukaryotic small subunit ribosomal RNA (bases 1-46)
Source: RNAcentral
AAGUCGUAACAAGGUUUCCGUAGGUGAACCUGCGGAAGGAUCAUUAAAAACUUUUAUCCAGGAAUUCGUUUCGUCUUCCCGGAUUAUUUGUAUUCAAAUCCCACUCUUUAUAAAUAUAUCAAUUAUAUAAAACAAAAAAUAAAAAAAGAAAACUUUCAACAACGGAUCUCUUGGCUCUC